This 1246-nucleotide long non-coding RNA is filed under the name Manacus vitellinus (golden-collared manakin). RNAcentral describes it as "lncRNA (ENSMVIG00005004070.1)". Lineage: Eukaryota; Metazoa; Chordata; Aves; Passeriformes; Pipridae. The record is from RNAcentral.
AGUCACUUUUGUCACCACUUUUGUCACCUUUUAUUGUCCCUCGUCGUCCCCAAACCUGUGGGAGGGUCCAAGGGGGGGAGUUGAGCGACCCCAAAUCCCCCCUUUUCACCCCAAACCCCCCCAGUUUGACCCUAAACCCCCCAUUUUUCACCCCAAACCCCCAUUUUUCACCCCAAAAAGGUGUGUGGGCCCCCCCGUUUCAGGGAGGAUCCCACCUGGGCCUCCCCAAAGUGGGAAUUUUCGGGAAGGGGCCCCCGGGAAUGUUUGUUUUGCCUCCGGUUCUUACGCGGGGGGUCACGGGGGGGACCCCCCACGCCUUUGUGGGAGGGGUUUUCCUCUGAAAAUCCCAAAUCCAGGGGUUUUUCACCCCAAAAUCCCAAAUCCAGGUGUUUUCCCCCCAAAAUCCCAAAUCCAGGGGAUUUCCCCCCAAAAAAUCCCAAAUCCAGGGGUUUGGCCCCGAAAUCCCCAAAUUACCUGUCCUGGGAUCCCGGUGCUCCAUCCAGGGGAGGGGGUGUCUAUAGGCCCCUCUAUAGGGGAUUUAGGGCCCCCUAAUGGGGUUUGUCCCCCUCUAUAGGGGAUUUAGGGCCCCCUAAUGGGGUCUGUCCCCCUCCAUAGGGGAUUCAGGGCCCUCUAAUGGGGUCUGUCCCCCUCCAUAGGGGAUUCAGGGCCCUCUAAUGGGGUUUGUCCCCCUCCAUAGGGGAUUUAGGGCCCCCUAAGGGGGAUUCAGAGCCCUCCAUAGGGGAUUUCAGCCCCUCUAACAGGGUCUGUCCCCCUCUAUAGGGGAUUUAGGGCCCCCUAAUGGGGUCUGUCCCCCCAUACAGGGAUUUAGGCCCCUCUCUAAGGGGGAUUUCAGCCCCUCCCUAAGGGGUUGAACCCCCUCUAUAGGGGAUUUCAGCCCCCCUAAUGGGGUCUGUCCCCCUCUAUAGGGGAUUUCAGCCCCCCUAAUGGGGUUUGUCCCCCUCUAUAGGGGAUUUCAACCCCCUAAGGGGGAUUCAGAGCCCUCUAUAAGGGAUUUAGGGCCCCCUAAUGGGGUCUGUCCCCCUCUAUAGGGGAUUUCAGCCCCCCUAACGGGGUCUGUCCCCCUCUAUAGGGGAUUUGGGCCCCCCUCCAAGGGGUGGGAGCCCCUGGGGCGGGUGCAGCCCCCUAUGGGGUGUGUAGGGGCCGGCGUAUGCCGGGGGGUCCCGGGGGGUGCCCCGGCCGUAGGUGACCCCGUUGCUGUGCCCUCGGCCCCGGGGCAGCACACGGG